GACGAACCGUGCGAACGUUAUUCGGAAUCAUUGGGCUUAAAGGGCGCGUAGGCGGCGGUGUAAGUUGGAAGUGAAAUCCCAUCGGCUCAACCGUGGAAUUGCUCCCAGUACUGCAUCGCUCGAGGGGGAUAGGGGUUUGCGGAACUACCGGUGGAGCGGUGAAAUGUGUUGAUAUCGGUGGGAACGCCAGUGGCGAAAGCGGCAAACUUGACCCUUCCUGACGCUGAGGCGCGAAAGCUAGGGGAGCAAACGGGG
This 255-nucleotide ribosomal RNA is filed under the name uncultured bacterium. RNAcentral describes it as "partial 16S ribosomal RNA". It matches the Rfam family "Bacterial small subunit ribosomal RNA", at positions 524 to 777 of the family's 1533-position model. The record is from RNAcentral.